RNAcentral lists this ribosomal RNA (253 nucleotides) under uncultured bacterium. Its description in RNAcentral is "partial 16S ribosomal RNA". It matches the Rfam family "Bacterial small subunit ribosomal RNA", at positions 524 to 776 of the family's 1533-position model. The record is from RNAcentral.
UACGUAGGGGGCAAGCGUUGUUCGGAAUUACUGGGCGUAAAGGGCGCGUAGGCGGCACGACAAGUCGGGAGUGAAAGCCCGGGGCUCAACCCCGGAACGUCUCUCGAAACUGUCGAGCUAGAGUGCAGAAGAGGCAACUGGAAUUCCCAGUGUAGCGGUGAAAUGCGUAGAUAUUGGGAAGAACACCUGAGGCGAAGGCGGGUUGCUGGGCUGACACUGACGCUGAGGCGCGAAAGCGUGGGGAGCAAACGGG